UGAAACUGGAAUUCUUGAGUGUGGUUGAAGUAGACGGAAUAUGUCAUGUAGCGGUGAAAUGCAUAGAUAUGACAUAGAACACCAAUUGCGUAGGCAGUUUACUAAACCAUUACUGACGCUCAUGGACGAAAGUGUGGGGAGCGAACAGGAUUAGAUACCCUGGUAGUCCACACCGUAAACUAUGAUCACUAGAUGUUGGCGAUAUACAGUCAGUGUCUUAGAGAAAUCGUUAAGUGAUCCACCUGGGAAGUACGUUCGCAAGAAUGAAACUCAAAGGAAUUGACGGGGGCCCGCACAAGCGGUGGAGCAUGUGGUUUAAUUCGAUGAUACGCGAGGAACCUUACCAAGGCUUAAAUGUAAAACGACCGGUUGAGAGAUCAACCUUUUUUCGAACGAUUUACAAGGUGCUGCAUGGUUGUCGUCAGCUCGUGCCGUGAGGUGUCGGGUUAAGUCCCAUAACGAGCGCAACCCCUAUUUCUAGUUGCCAGCGAGUAAUGUCGGGAACUCUAGAGAGACUGCCCGUGCAAACGGAGAGGAAGGUGGGGAUGACGUCAAAUCAUCACGGCCCUUAUGUCUUGGGCUACACACGUGCUACAAUGGUCAAUACAGUGGGAUGCCAUCUGGUGACAGAGAGCAAAUCCAUAAAGUUGAUCCCAGUUCGGAUCGGAGUCUGCAACUCGACUCUGUGAAGUUGGAAUCGCUAGUAAUCGCACAUCAGCCAUGGUGCGGUGAAUACGUUCCCGGGCCUUGUACACACCGCCCGUCAAGCCAUGGAAGUUUGGAGUGCCUGAAGUCAGUAACCGCAAGGAUCUGCCUAAGGUAAAACAAGUAACUAGGGCUAAGUCGUAACAAGGUACC
RNAcentral lists this ribosomal RNA (858 nucleotides) under uncultured Cryomorphaceae bacterium. RNAcentral describes it as "bacterial SSU rRNA". It matches the Rfam family "Bacterial small subunit ribosomal RNA", at positions 628 to 1500 of the family's 1533-position model. The record is from RNAcentral. Lineage: Bacteria; Pseudomonadati; Bacteroidota; Flavobacteriia; Flavobacteriales; Cryomorphaceae.